GAUGAAGAACGCAGCAAAAUGCGAUAAGUAAUGUGAAUUGCAGAAUUCAGUGAAUCAUCGAAUCUUUGAACGCACAUUGCGCCCGCCAGUAUUCUGGCGGGCAUGCCUGUUCGAGCGUCAUUUCAACCCUCAAGCGCAGCUUGGUGUUGGGACUCGCGUUAAUUCGCGUUCCCCAAAUUGAUUGGCGGUCACGUCGAGCUUCCAUAGCGUAGUAGUAAAACCCUCGUUACUGGUAAUCGUCGCGGCCACGCCGUUAAACCCCAACUUCUGAAUGUUGACCUCGGAUCAGGUAGGAAUACCCGCUGAACUUAAGCAUAUCAAUAAGCGGAGGA
Molecule: unclassified non-coding RNA, 332 nt
Filed under: soil metagenome
Description: partial contains 5.8S ribosomal RNA, internal transcribed spacer 2, and large subunit ribosomal RNA
Rfam family: 5.8S ribosomal RNA (bases 1-120)
Source: RNAcentral